AGAGCAAACUGUAGCCAAGAACAACUUGCCGAUCAGAUCAUUUAAAUAAAAUUAGGGCAAUAUAAUUAAUAUUGCAAGAUCAUCGGCAAGUCAUCCUUGGCUGCAAACCACUCUCU
Non-coding RNA from Erythranthe guttata (spotted monkey flower), 116 nucleotides. The record is from Rfam. NCBI's taxonomy places the organism in Eukaryota, Viridiplantae, Streptophyta, Magnoliopsida, Lamiales, Phrymaceae.